CCUUAGCCCCGAUGGGAGCGGUACCUCGUAAAGCGGACAGCGGGAAUUACC
Flavobacterium suncheonense GH29-5 = DSM 17707 is the source of this 51-nucleotide non-coding RNA. Lineage: Bacteria; Pseudomonadati; Bacteroidota; Flavobacteriia; Flavobacteriales; Flavobacteriaceae. The record is from Rfam.